UACGUGGGGGGCAAGCGUUGUUCGGAAUUACUGGGCGUAAAGGGCUCGUAGGCGGCCAACUAAGUCAGACGUGAAAUCCCUCGGCUUAACCGGGGAACUGCGUCUGAUACUGGAUGGCUUGAGGUUGGGAGAGGGAUGCGGAAUUCCAGGUGUAGCGGUGAAAUGCGUAGAUAUCUGGAGGAACACCGGUGGCGAAGGCGGCAUCCUGGACCGAUACUGACGCUGAGGAGCGAAAGCCAGGGGAGCAAACGGG
Molecule: ribosomal RNA, 253 nt
Filed under: uncultured bacterium
Lineage: Bacteria
Description: partial 16S ribosomal RNA
Rfam family: Bacterial small subunit ribosomal RNA
Source: RNAcentral